CCCUUAGAUGUCCUGGGCCGCACGCGCGCUACACUGACAUGUUCAACAAGCCUCCUAGUUCGACAGGAUUUGGGAAAUCUUUGAACGCAUGUCGUGAUAGGGAUAGAUCAUUGCAAUUAUUGAUCUUGAACGAGGAAUUCCUAGUAAACGCGAGUCAUCAGCUCGCAUUGAUUACGUCCCUCCCCUUUGUACACACCGCCCGUCGCACCUACCGAUCGAAUGUUUCGGUGAAGAUUCCGGAUAGGACUUUUUUGAUUUAUUUCAAUUUUGUCUUAAAAGCUAUCUAAACCUCAACAUUUAGAGGAAGGUGAAGUCGUAACA
This 321-nucleotide ribosomal RNA is filed under the name uncultured eukaryote. Its description in RNAcentral is "partial 18S ribosomal RNA". It matches the Rfam family "Eukaryotic small subunit ribosomal RNA", at positions 1470 to 1796 of the family's 1831-position model. The record is from RNAcentral.